RNAcentral lists this ribosomal RNA (502 nucleotides) under uncultured bacterium. RNAcentral describes it as "partial 16S ribosomal RNA". It matches the Rfam family "Bacterial small subunit ribosomal RNA", at positions 28 to 507 of the family's 1533-position model. The record is from RNAcentral.
GACGAACGCUGGCGGCGUGCUUAACACAUGCAAGUCGAACGGUGAAGGGGUCUGCUUUUGUGGGCCCUGGAUGAGUGGCGAACGGGUGAGUAACACGUGAGUAACCUGUCCCCUUCUUCUGGAUAACCGCAUGAAAGUGUGGCUAAUACGGGAUAUUCUGGGUCUGUCGCAUGAUGGGUCUGGGAAAGAUUGCGCCUUUGGGUGUUUUUGGUGGGGGAUGGGCUCGCGGCCUAUCAGCUUGUUGGUGGGGUGAUGGCCUACCAAGGCGGGGACGGGUAGCCGGCCUGAGAGGGUGGACGGUCACACUGGGACUGAGACACGGCCCAGACUCCUACGGGAGGCAGCAGUGGGGAAUAUUGCACAAUGGGCGCAAGCCUGAUGCAGCGACGCCGCGUGAGGGAUGGAGGCCUUCGGGUUGUAAACCUCUUUCGCCAGUGAAGCAGGCCUGCUCCGUGUGGGUGGGUUGACGGUAGCUGGAUAAGAAGCGCCGGCUAACUACGUG